Molossus molossus (Pallas's mastiff bat) is the source of this 108-nucleotide small nuclear RNA. NCBI's taxonomy places the organism in Eukaryota, Metazoa, Chordata, Mammalia, Chiroptera, Molossidae. The record is from RefSeq and is a predicted model, not a curated record.
GUACUUGCUUCAGCAGCACAUAUACUAAAAUUGGACCAAUAAAGAGAAGAUUAGCAUGGCCCCUGUGCAAGGAUGCAAUGCAAAAUUUGUGAAGCAUUUCAUAUUUUU